RNAcentral lists this ribosomal RNA (253 nucleotides) under uncultured bacterium. RNAcentral describes it as "partial 16S ribosomal RNA". It matches the Rfam family "Bacterial small subunit ribosomal RNA", at positions 524 to 776 of the family's 1533-position model. The record is from RNAcentral.
CACGUAGGGUGCGAGCGUUGUCCGGAAUUAUUGGGCGUAAAGCGUGCGUAGGCGGCUGCGCAAGUCGGUUGUGAAACCCCGGGGCUCAACCCCGGAACUGCAUCCGAUACUGCGUGGCUAGAGGUAGGUAGGGGAGAUCGGAAUUCCUGGUGUAGCGGUGAAAUGCGCAGAUAUCAGGAAGAACACCCGUGGCGAAGGCGGCUCUCUGGGACGGUACUGACGCUGAGACGCGAAAGCGUGGGGAGCGAACAGG